CCUACGGGUGACAGCAGUGGGGGAUAUUGCACAAUGGGGGAAACCCUGAUGCAGCGACGCCGCGUGUAGGAAGACGGUCCUCUGGGUUGUAAACUACUGUCCCCAGGGACGAAGAUGACGGUACCUAGGGAGGAAGCUCCGGCUAACUACGUGACAGCAGCCGCGGUAAUACGUAGGGAGCGCGCGUUGUCCGGAAUUACUGGGUGAAAAGGGAGCGUAGGCGGGGGUGCAAGUUGGGUGUUAAAUCUACCGGCUCAACUGGUAGUCGCACUCAAAACUGCAGCUCUUGAGUGAAGUAGAGGCAGGCGGAAUGCGUAGUGUAGCGGUGAAAUGCGUAGAUAUUAGGAGGAACACCAGUGGCGAAGGCGGCCUGCUGGGCUUUUACUGACGCUGAGGCUCGAAAGUGUGGGGAGCAAACAGGAUUAGAUACCCGAGUAGUC
RNAcentral lists this ribosomal RNA (440 nucleotides) under uncultured bacterium. RNAcentral's name for it is "partial 16S ribosomal RNA". It matches the Rfam family "Bacterial small subunit ribosomal RNA", at positions 338 to 795 of the family's 1533-position model. The record is from RNAcentral.